Molecule: ribosomal RNA, 304 nt
Filed under: Triticum aestivum (bread wheat)
Lineage: Eukaryota; Viridiplantae; Streptophyta; Magnoliopsida; Poales; Poaceae
Description: partial small subunit ribosomal RNA
Source: RNAcentral
AUCGUCCCCCACCCCCAGUAACCUCUCCCGGCUACCUCCUAUCGCUGCCGCCCCCACCUUCUCAGUGGAUUUCGCCGGCGCCUCGCCCCCACCUACUCCGCUGCUCCCGCCGGCACCUCGCGCCCACCUACUCCGCGGCCCCCGCCGACGCCUCGCCCCCACCUUCUCCGCAGCUCCCGCCGGCGCCAGGCUCCCCAUGUGGCGGCUGCCUUCCUUCCGCCAACCGGCCACCUCCCGCUUCAGACAGUUCGGGCAUCGCCCCUCCGCCUCCUUCUGGCUGCCCUCGGCGACGCUCCAGCCGCCA